Molecule: long non-coding RNA, 4364 nt
Organism: Helianthus annuus (common sunflower)
Lineage: Eukaryota; Viridiplantae; Streptophyta; Magnoliopsida; Asterales; Asteraceae
Exons: 2
Source: RefSeq, a predicted model, not a curated record
AGAACACAAAUGGUUUACGAAAAGCUUAUGAUUUAUACCGGUUUUCCAAACAAGCGUAUUUUUCUGAAAAUACAAAUACAAGAGUUUAAAAAUACAUGAGUUAUGGUAUGAAAAUAUAAAAAGCACACUUGGUGAGAACGAGUACCAAGUGUGUAGCGAUAUAAGAAUACAAGAAACACACUUGGUGAGAAACGAGUACCAAGUGUAGGUGACAUAAGAAUACGGGAAGCGCGCUUGGUGAGAAACGAGAACCAAGUAGGAUGCGCUAUGAAAAAUGAUGCGAGAAAUCGUGUCACGAAUAGGGUACAGAAGCACCAUUAAUCAACAAUAUACCUAGACCGCAGAACAAAAGGUUAGAUCUAACGGGUGCCGGGCAGCCACACUCUCGGUGAGGGCGAGUAUCGAGUAGUGCUUUUGUGUCUCAGAAUAUACCAAUUAAAUGCCUAAGGUUUGGUGACUUCCUAUGUCGUGCCACAUGUUAAUGGCCUUGCAACCCAUUAACAAUCCUGAAAUUUACAGGACUACUUUAAUUACAUGAAAUUCAUACCAUACUAAAACUUGAAUUAUACUUGAAGUACGUGGGGUACUCAAGAAGAUUAGAAUUAUACAUAGAGUACUUGGUGUACACAUGAAUACUUGAAUUAUACAUGAAAACUUGAUUUAUACGUGACACAAACUAUGUUUUCAUUCAGAGUUUCAAGUAACUCGAUAAGAAAAUGAUUUUUAAAUACAUUUUCUCAACAAUACUUCAAAAACCGGUUAUUCAAAAAGAUUUACUUCAAAUCUUUUACAACCAAACUAUGAACUCGCUCAACUUUAUGUUGAUUUUUCGCAUGUUUCUUUCUCAGGUUACUUUUCAAACAAUGGAACGGUUGGAAUAGGAGGACCAUGAAGAGUCGAGUACUUAGUGGCGUUCAAUUUCUAGAAGUCUUAGCUUUAUUUGCUUCCGCUGUGCAAUGAAGAUACCAGUCCAGUCACGCCAAUGCUCUGAUAAUUUCGGGGUGUGACAGAUUGGUAUCAGAGCUAUAGGUUACAGCGAACAGGGUUUUCCGUAGGAAUACCUAGGCUCUAACCUCACUAUCCUCUGGGAACUUAGAAUAUUAAAACCUGAAUGCAUACAGAAAGCAUAGUACUCGAAUAUGGUCUCCAACCGUUGCCGAAAAACAAACAGUCAAGAUUUUGUUUUCAAACAUACGCUAAAGUGGUGUUUUACACACGGUACACAAAACAGUCGCAUACAGUACACAAAACUCUGAGAAUUUAAGAAACAUGCAUUUAAGACCUCCGGAAACUCAUGUAGAAGUUCAUUAAAGGUCACCACGUAGGUACCACGUUUAUUAACUCGGACAAACGUCAUUUUUAUGUCAUCUAUGCUAUUUAGCCGAGCAGGUAACCUACGCAAAACGAAGCACGAGCGUGCAAAAGUACACGAAAACUCGAUCAACGGAGGUUGAAGUAUGUCACAUACGACUAUCAAGGCGAUGCCUUAGAAAGGACACGAUGGCGCAAUUCAGCAACGACGCUAGAUCCUGUCAGCACGAAAACUAUCGAUCAGGAAGCGGCAGUUUGGCACGCGGUCCUGCAAACGACACGAGUCAUGCUAAGGAAAAGACGCAAGUCACCGUAUCCCCCCUAUCCGAAUAAUGACAAGUACGCUAAGUUUGACAUUCCAUGGUAAUGUCACCUAACAACUGGUUAUCACAUGCAACCCCAGGUAAAGUCCUUAAAUUUCUUUUAUUGAAAUUUCGACUUUCACAUUCACUGAGUAGAUUUUCGCAUCUCUACUCCUCUUAAUGGUCAUUGCAUCACAAUCACUUCUUCAUUAUAGCGAAUGUUCAUUUGCUUCAUUUCUUGAAAAUUCAUAUCUUACGCAUGCAUCGUUUGUUGCGCAUGUGGUUCCGUUUCGAAUAAAGCGUUCCACUGAAGUUCAAAUAUUGUUUCGCUAAAUCUAAUUGUUGAUUUGUGAUUCGAAUGACCUGCAUUAUUGUAAUUGUUGGCUUCUUCGUUACUAGGACAACACAUUUUCUUGAAACUUCAUUUCUUAUCUUUUCAAGUUACAUACAUGGUUUUCGUUGUGACCAUGCCGAAAGUUUUCUUGUCGAUACAUGUAUUUAUUGUCGGCUUGCGCCGAAAUAAAAUUCAAUUGUUUGAACCUGUUCAUUAUACAUAUUCAAAUUCCAGACAUCAUAUGAUGUAUUGAAAACAUCAUAUUCGAAUUCGUUUUAACAAGCGUUUCAUUGCUCUGAGUCGUAGUAGAUUUGUUUGAUCUACGACUCCAUUAAGUCGUUUGUUGAUUUCGACACCCUGUGGUGUCAAUACAGACUUGUAGCUUGAGCUAAUCAUGAUUGAACAUUUCAUGCAAAACACAGGUGAUACUUGUUCGAUCACCACUAUACUUGAAUUAUUUCAUUCACUACGACACCUUGUGGCGUCGGUAGAAUUUGCAGCUUGGGCUGAUCGUGAUCGAGCGUUUCAUGCAAACUAUUACAUUUGAGCUUGUUGAAAUCUAAAUUCGUUUAUUGGAUGCAAUCAUUUCUAGAAUUCAUUCAUAUCUUGUGACACGUCUUUAAAUCCACAUCAUUCGAAUAAGUCUUGAUUCGAUUUCAUGAUCGUUCACUUUGGUACUAUUCAUAUUUUCUACGCAUAACGUAACUCAAAGGAGUUGACGUAGUCUAAAUUUCGAGGACGAAAUUUUAUUAACAGGGGGAGACUGUGACAACCGGUAAUUUACACCCUUAAUUACGUGAUUAACAGGUAAUUACGCAAUAAUAAAUAGGGUUUACGACGCAAAUUAACUUAAUUAGGCCCUUGGAGUGCCUAGGAACGCUUAUCCGACCCUACAAUACGCUUUUGAAGAUUCGCGCGGCAUCUGCGGAACAUCAAUUGACAACGGACUGAAACCGUACGAAAUACUGACAACGCCAACAAAUAUGGAUAUUACAUGAAUAUUCUAUGCUCAUGGAGUUUGGGUCGCGAUAUCGGGUCUCGUAGGAAUUACGGGCCACCUACUCAUGAGAUGGGCUUGUGGGCCCUGAGGCCAAGUCCAAAACCCGCAAGCCUAAACCUGCAUAAUAUAUAAGAUCUACAAAAUAUAGCCAAAUCUCUACAAAAGAUUUGCAAUAAUCCUACUAAAUCCUAAAAUCUCUAUAAAUCUUUACAAAAGAUAUCAUCUCAAAAGAUAUAACAUAUAACCUGAAUAGAAUUUGAAAACAUAAAGGAUAAUAAAAGUUGGCCACUCUAUUAAUACACAUCCACUCCUUCUCAUCUAAACUCACACUGCCUUUCACCUUCCUCCCUCUCGGUUACAUAUACAAACACAGGGAAUUUCUCACCUGCACAAGACAAAAACCCAAAUCAAACAACUUUCCUCACCAAACAAAACCCAACCCAACCCAGCCGACCACCCCUACCCCUCUCGGUCUAUCUCUCCUCUCGUUCUAUACAUUCAAACACAAAGAAAUCAGCUCCCAACCCACUUGUUUUACCCCCUAUUAAUGGGCCAACCACCACCAUCCUUUGGUGGUGGCAGACUACAACAACAAACACCACCACCACCACCACAGGCGGCGGCGCUGUGGUGGUUGGUACCGAAUGAUGAAGAGAACAGAACCGCCGCACGCGGCGGCGGUAUGAUGGCAAGAGAGAGAGAGAGAGUAGAGAGAGAUGGUGACAGCGGCUGACUGGCGACGGAGCCGUCUCUCCGACGGCGGCGGCGGUGGUCUGAGACUUAGACCGGCAGUUCGUGUUACGGACCGGUGGUUCGUGUCAAGAUCCAGCGGUUUUUGCUUUUGACUAAUGGGUUAACCGGGAGUAGCGGCUGAAGACGGUGGUGAUGACGAUGGUGACGGCAGUGGCAGCGUGACGGUGGUUGUGUCUCGAUCCACGAGAUUUCCGCAAACGUCAACAGUUGGGGUUCGGGUUAGAUGUUGAGUUUCGGGUUUUCGGGUGCAGGUCAGCGCUGUGGUUCAGCUUGUUGCGGUUCACACGGUUCAGCAGGUUUAAUUUUCGGGCCAACUGGUUAACGGGUUGACUCGGUCAAACUGAGUCAACUCAGUCAACAAGUCAAAGCUGGUCAACAUCGAGUCAUUGCUCGGGCUUGGUCAACUCGGGUCAGAUUAGGAAGCGGUUCGGUCGACUCGGUCAAACCCGGUCAACAGCGAGUUGACUCGGUCAACUCAGCUAGCUCACUCGACAUUUCGUCACGAAGACUUGGUAAAAACUAAUGACAAGUUUAGUAUUUUCGUGAUUUAUACUUACGUGAUAACGAGCUCGAACCAAACAAAAUAAUGAAAGUAAUAGUUAAAGAGUACUUUGAUUUAUUAUUUCGUUUUUAUAAAUUGAUGAUACGUAAUUAUUGUUGAAUA